Molecule: long non-coding RNA, 430 nt
Filed under: Elaeis guineensis (African oil palm)
Lineage: Eukaryota; Viridiplantae; Streptophyta; Magnoliopsida; Arecales; Arecaceae
Description: long non-coding RNA (EGUI_LNC066790)
Source: RNAcentral
AUGGAUUAUCCUGGUCAAGGUUUUGCUAAAUUGAAAUACACUGAUGCAUAUCUCCUACCAAUUCAGAGGGGUCAAUUCUAUCUUGACUCACACACCGACUUAAUAAGUACUAGAUUGCACCCAGUAUCCUUCCGUCACUAAGUUAAAAACUCAGAUGGUCUAGUACUAAAGUAUAGUGAGUUGCUUACAAGUCACCGUGGUGGUCUCAGAUCGGAGGGACACUUAUACCCAUACCCUUCACAAGCUACUCUUGACCGCAGAGUCUCGGCACAUGAUCACAUUCGAUGCGAAUGUACUCCUACAUUGCAUCUGCAUGCUAUAACAGUAUCUCCACACUCCUUGAUUAAGAGAACAACCAACUCAUAUGGCACACAAUGAUCUACUCUUGAUAUCACUAUCGUCCUAUUAAUAGCGUAUCGUUUGGUCACGA